UAGCACAUCCGCACUCCCCUCCUCCCAGCGCUCCUGCCUGUGCCGGCCGGAGCUGCAGCGCCGUCGUGGGGCGGCUGGAAUCUCAAAAUUUCAAGUUUCUAGACACCGUACGGAGAUUUCGAGAUUAUGGCCGCCGAAGGCCGGCGUUGCAACUCCGGCCAGCACAAACAGGAGUGCUGGGAGGAGGUGAGUGUGGCUGUGCUGGUCGGCGCUGUCGUUGCGCGCCGUCGGUAGCCGGAAUCGCCGAAUCCGCACCAUACGAACGGUGCGGACGUCCGCAUCUGAGAAUUUCUCUAUAUAUAUAUAUAUUUAUGCGAAGCUCUUCAGCCUUCUCGCACUUGAAGAUACUUUUCUCUUAGCAAAAACGUGGUUUAUAAACUCAGAUCAUGAAGACUACCUUAACACUUCUGGUGUUCGUUGCCUUUGUCCUGGUUUCUGCAUCUCUGCAAUCAAAUGCAUCGAGGCCCAAAUACGAUCGUGGCCUUGUCGUUGGCGAUUUUGAUCGAUCCGGACGAUUCCCAAGGACACCAAAUGAUGUCCCGACGGCUGCGGUGGACUCUAAAGAUACCAAGGUCGACACUGUGUCUGAUCAAAGCAAGGGUUCAGGAGAAACGAAAGAAAGUACCGGAGACAGUAGCACUAGUACUAGUACUGAUGCGAAGACCAACGAUGAAGAUGAUGUGAACCCGUCUUAUAAACACUAUGGAGGUACUGGUUCGAAGUCUGAUUCAUCAACCGACACUCACCGUUAUUAUUCUGUGGAUGACCGAACCGGUUCAAGCUCCAACGAUGAUGGACGCAAGCCCCAGAACUGAUAAUGACCGCUUCCAAUCAAAGACGAUGGAUCGAGGUAGCUAGCUAGCUAGCUUUCUUCCAUAUGUAUAAUAGAUAAAUUCGGUGUGCCUAUAUAUAGCCAUAUAGGUUGGUUUCAUAAAUAAGUAGAACCAGUGUCUUGUGAAGUGUGCUAACACGAGUUCGGUUUCACUGUGUCUAGCGCGCUAGCUAGCUUGUUGAAUCCAGUGUGAUGUUGUGUGGCUUAAUCCUUAGGCCAAUAGUAUGUAUUUUGCUUUGGCAGUUUAUCUAUAUAGCUUACAUAAACAUAA
Molecule: long non-coding RNA, 1103 nt
Organism: Argentina anserina (silverweed cinquefoil)
Lineage: Eukaryota; Viridiplantae; Streptophyta; Magnoliopsida; Rosales; Rosaceae
Exons: 2
Source: RefSeq, a predicted model, not a curated record